AAUUGGCACAUAUUUUAUUUUUACAAAUUGAAAUAUUACAAUUUUUGCAUAAUUUUAAUGAUGUAAUGGAGGUCAAGCAUAAGGUACAAAAAAUAUCGACUUUCAAUCACUUUUGUAAUAUGUAUGUACAUUUUGCAGAUGACCUAUCUUUUUAAAUGGAAACCUUUUGUUUUAUACAUAUCGAAAUCUCUCAUCAUUCUAUGAAAAAAAAGUAUUACGAUAAUACGGUCGAAAAUUGAUUAGUUUAAAAGAUAUUUUAGCUUUAAUUUUGUAGAAUAUCAUAUGAAAACAAGGGAAAACGAAACACAGUACUUUUGUGUUUAUGUUUUGUUUGUCUUACGUAUGAUAAAUUCCACAAAAUUAAAGUUAGAAUAUCUUUUAAAUUAAUUAUUUUUAGACGAUAUUACUCUAAUACUAUUUUUCGCAGAGACGACUAACAGCAAAAUACAUAUGCACUUUUACAUUUGCAAAAAGAUAUUAUCAUGAAUAUAUAGUUUGUCACUUUGAAUUAUUUAUCUUUUUCCUUUUCAUUUUUUCUUCAUACUCAUCGUUUAAGAGAAACACGUCGAGAACUAAUAACGUGAACAUGCUGGACAUUUAUUGUGUAUAAAUACACUAUUUGGUAAGUGUAAAUUAGCAACUUAAAUAAUAAAUGUAAUAUUGUAAUAAUAGAAUUCCAUGAUUUUUAUAAAAAGUAUAUAAUUAAGUAAUAAACUGUUUUCAUAAAAUAGUACAGUUUAUUAACACAUUUUAUAAAAUUAUUGUGAAUGAAAUAUUUACGUGUGCUAUAUUAUAUGAAUUUGAUACCAAGAAUUUUAUUGUGUAUAUAACAUAAAAAAAUCUUUCUAUAAUUGCUUUAUUAAUCAGUUGAAAAUAUUAAUGAGCUAUUUAAAUAAAAGAAUUAAUAUUAAAUAAUUUGUGAUAUUAAGGGGGUAUUCUGGUCUAGAAAUUUGAAAAAAUCGAAAAUUUGUUUUUCAUAUUUCCAAAGUUUAGACAUUCAAGAAUAUGCCCUUAAAAGGAUUUUUCAAAAUUUCAAUUAUUUUAUGAGUUACAGCCAUUUUUGUGACGCAGCAUCUGCUUCGAUCCGACCAGAACAAAUGAACAGUAGACGGUAGACGUUGUCCGAAUAAACUUGUCUCAAAACUUUAAACGCGUUUUUCUCGAAACUACUUUUUUCGAGUUGGCGUGCACGAUAUCUCAAGUUCUAAUGAACCGAUUUAUUUUAAAUUUGGUCUGAAUAUUCCUUAUAUACUUCUCUAUCGUCCGGACUACGCUCAGCUCAAAAUCUUUAAUAUUACUAUUUUUUAAAUUAAUAUUACUAUUUUUAAAAUGUUGUAUUGACUUUUCCAAGAUUCAGACGAUAGCGGCAUCCAUACUAAUUAAGAAUCUGUUCACUUUUUUUGUUUCAAAUGACCAGAAGGGUUGAUAUCAUGCACGCCACGACACCCCAUCUUUGGCAGCACCCACUUUGCCAGCUCAUAACUUUUUAAAUAUUAAGUUUUUUCCGGAGAUUCCGAAGACAAAGAUUUCAGAAAAUUAUCAUCGUCGGCGCUGUCAUCAAUCUAGAAAACGCAAUAGGAGUAACGUUCGUUCUGCUAUAUGCUGCGUGCUGAAAAUGGAUUAGUGAUAGAUAGUGGAGCUUUUUGCGUCCACUUUGCAAUCAUUUGCCAAAAGUCUUCUCAAAUACCGCUAAAAAUCGUCUUUUUUCACAUGGAAUCGUGGAAUCGUGGAAUCGUGGAAUCGUGGAACACAAAAUGUCCAAAUAUUGGCUUACUUUGUAAAGUUGAAAACGUUCGUGUGAGGGCGUUGUAUACUACUCGGAAAACUAUGUGGCCGAUAGAAGUACGAAUGUUCAAAUCGUGGAAGUCCUUUAAAUACUGCGCAUUAGUAACUACGCACUGACACGCUGGACAACUAUCUUUUUCCUUUUUCUAUGCAUUCAGUUUUCACUUACUAAAGUAUGUUUGAACAUGCAAUGGUUAAAUUCAUUUAAUAAUACGAGGUUAUCGACAAACGUAAAUUGAUAAUUGGAAAUAUAAGUUCAUUUCGUAUACUUAAAUACGGAACCUAACCCCAGAGGUGGUAAGAAGAGGGUAAAAUUUGUUUUACAGAAUAAUCGUAUUUCUAUGUCCAUUAAAGUUAAUGAUGUGAAAUUCGGCAUAUGAACUCAUUAAAAAUAAACGAACACGUAUUUGACCAGUUUUCAAAAUUAGAUACUUAAAGAGUAUUCAACUAGAGGCUAAUAAAUAUAAUUCAAAUACUGUGCUAGCGAAGCCGCGAGUGGGCAGAUAGUAUAUUAUAUAUGUAUAUAUUGUAAUUAUUUGGGUAUUCGUUAGAUAUAAUAUUAAAUUCUUUUGAAUGCAUAGUUGACACAUCUUGUUUUUACAAAUUGACAUAUCAUUUAAUUUUAAUAAAACAAUUGAUUUUAUAUUGUUUUCAUAUAUUGUUUAUUAUAAAAUGUUGAUGAUGUAAUAAAAGUAGAGGAAGAGAUGCAAAAUUAUUUUUAUUUUUAAUCACUUUUUUAUUAUAGCAGUUGUAAUCUCAUAUAUUGCAUGGAAAUAAAUAGAUUGCAAUGCAGAACAUAUAGAUUUAUUACUUGUAGGUAAAUAUACUUCGAUAGGUGUAAAUUGGCAACUGUUAUAAUAAAUAUAUUAUAAUAAAAAAAUACUAUGACUUGUUUUAAAAAUAUAUGAUUCAGUAAUAGACUGUUUUCAUGAAGUAUGUAGCUUGUUAGCUUCUUAGUAUAUAGCUUGUUAUUUAUUUCAUAAAAUUAUCGUGAAUGAAAUAUUUAUACAUAAUAUUAUAUGAAUGUGAUACUAUACGAAUUUUAUCACGUGUAUUUAACAUAAAAAAGACUACAAUUCUAUCAUUAAUCAGUUUAACAUAUUAGAUGAGUUAUGUAAAUAAAAUAACUGAUUUGAAAUAAUGUGUCUAAAUUAUAAAUUACAAGGAUGAUAAAUCGUAUAAAUAAUAUAAAUAAUAUGCGCAAGUAUCGUCGACAACAUAAUGUUUAUUAUAAAGAAGAUGCUACACCAUUUUUUCUUUGGGAUAUUGUAUGAAAGUGCUUCGGCUUAAAUAGCACACAAUUAUCAAUUGCUCAAUUACAAUUGUAUAAAAAGUGUACAAGAGCGUACAAAAUUUUUACAUUGUUUUUACAGCAUCAAUUACAUUAACGAUUUAUAUAGAAUAACUUACGUGCGACAGUUUAUGAAAAAUUGCGUGUAAGAUUACAUUUACAAGAAAUUGGCUACAUAAGAGAAGUCUACAUGUAAUCCAUAUAGAUAGGAAAUGGAUGUUUCUGAAUGCUGCGCAAUCACAAAAUUAUACAAGAAGUUAAACUGUCACAAAUCGAUAGAAUGCAAAAGGAUUCAAUGAAUUAAAAGCUUCAUCACUGUUUACAAUCAUAUGUAAUAUUUUCUUACCAGUCUAUUUGCAUUUUGUUAUAGUUGCAAUCAAUAUGGAAAAGAAGGUGCAGCCUAAACAUGUAAUGUUCUAAAGGAAACGUAAUUAAAAAAGAUGAAUAAAAAAUUAUUAUAAUUAUA
This is a long non-coding RNA of Bombus huntii, 3542 nucleotides long. RefSeq lists it as uncharacterized. Lineage: Eukaryota; Metazoa; Arthropoda; Insecta; Hymenoptera; Apidae. The record is from RefSeq and is a predicted model, not a curated record. The transcript has 2 exons.